Molecule: long non-coding RNA, 1518 nt
Organism: Drosophila ananassae
Lineage: Eukaryota; Metazoa; Arthropoda; Insecta; Diptera; Drosophilidae
Exons: 2
Source: RefSeq, a predicted model, not a curated record
GGUGAGAGCUAUAGUCGUUCGAUGGCUUUUACACAAUUUAUUGUAAGUACAUUUGUAAGUAUAAUUCGUACAAAUUCGAUAAGAAUGGAAAUUUUAUUUGAUUGAAUUUGUUUGGUAAUUGGAUCAGGGCAUAACAGGCUGCUCAAUCAUGUCAUGUCAAAAUUUCAUCGGAUUUUAUUCAAUUUUAUUUACACUCUUGUACACCAGGCUUUUGUGUUACUAUUUACUAGAAAGGAAUCCAAGGAUAGCUAUACAAGUCGAACUUGUUGACUGAAUGUCAGGAUGCGUUGUGGGUGUGAAUGAUAUUUGGUAAACAAGAGAGACAGGUCGACACUCCCCCACAAAGGAGAAGGAACACACACGCAUUUGACUCUACCUGUCACUUUGUUUGCUAUGCCCACGUGUAAUAUAAAGCGUUAUUUAUGCACGAGUGUGUGUAUGGCCCUAGAUCCCCUCCCAAAAAGCCAAAAUAUGGCAGCAACAAACGCUGAGGCAAUAACCUGUCUGACCUGACCCGUUCCGACAGUCUGUCUGACUUUCCGCCUGUUUGCCAGCUGAUGUUCUUGUCAGGUGCUUAAAAGUGUUUGCUAAAUAAUGCAUUUCAAUUAGAGUCCCCACAUACCCCCCGGGGCUAAGCCUGCGGUAACGCUCGUCUUACCCCAAUAAAUCAGUUGAAAUAGAAUUAAAUAAUCAAAUUAAUCGGCACGUGUCUGUGGCACAUUCCCCAGGUCCUGAGUGAUGUGUGGCAGUCAUGCCACAUGAAACACUGAACCACAAAUGCCAGGAUAUAUUUUGGCUUUUAAAGAGAGUGAAAAUUUAAGAGGGAUAAUACCAUAGAAACGUAUACCAUCAGCAUAAUUAUAAACUCGUAAACUUUGGCGAAUUGUGAUUAACGAAAGUUCAACUAUAAAUCAACUUUUUAACUUGGCCAAGAUGAUGCUCGUGGACUUGACAGCUACCGGCUGUCAUGGAAACUUCAUGGCGAAGGGGUUCAGGAAAAGUCGCAGCCAGCAGUUGGGUCAGCGGGCAAAUAUUUGGCAAUCCAAUUGCUGAUAACAACCACCCAGUCAUGUAAAGUCAAGAUGGGCCAUAAACCCAUCGCCCAUUUCCCGGGCUAUCUCGGCUGAAAACUUUCACCAGAUCCAGAAGCCAAAACAAUUGGAGCAGUGCCGGGUACGCGAAUGUGUACUAUGGACUAGUACUAGCACUAAUACUGGUACUGCGUCUGGGUUUAUGGCGCAUUUAUCUCAAUUGCCGGGUCUUGGGACAGCGCCUGUCAUAAUAAACAAUAAAUGCUAACGCCCAAAACGAAACUAAAUACACAAACGCUGUGCCGGGAACUGGGCCAGAAGCUGCAUCACACAAAUCGUUUUUGAUAUCAGAAAGUGGGUCAAAUGUUUUCGUCUUGGACGCGGACACAGACGCUUUCUGCGCCCCUGCCCUUGCCGCACUCUGACACCCAUCAAAUGCACUUAAAUGCAAAAUGUAAUGCUAAUAAAUUAAAUUAGUUGCCACUUA